CGCUGAGCUAAAUUUCUGGCCCCUCCUUACGCUUUUUUAGGUUGGCUUCCCUGUUGAUUUUUGGCUCACUGGUUUUGUCCUGCCACAUGGGUCUUGUUCAAGUAAAUCUUUCUCUUGGUGCUCUUGUAAAUCUGUUAAUGAGUUUGGGCUUGGAAGGUCCUGUAAGUCUCCCCAGUGUUAUUUGCUAAGUAAGGUGGACAGAACACUCAGAGUUAUAAACAGAGACCAGCAGCCAGCAAAGAUCAGCAGCGGGGAGCAGCAGCUUGGCAAAGUCCACUGAUUGGCAGCUGGUGGUGGCCGUGUGGACAGCUAUCAUGCUAAAGGCUGAGGGCCAUUGGCACUUGAAGCCUCAGGAUGCUCCAGAGCUGCACUUUCCCGAUAUAAUGAAUCUACCAGAAGAACCUUCACUUUACUGAUGACAUUUUCUUCUCUGGUGCUCUUGUCCUGUGCUCUGUGUCCUGGAACUGUAUGCCUUUCCGCCAUGAUGUCUCUGGGUUGGAACCAGUCAGCCAUGGACUGAACCCUCCGAAACCAUGAGCCAGCUGCUACGCAGUGUUAGUCCCUCCAGCUCCAAUGCAAACUGGGCAUCCACGGUGCCUAUACGUCGUACCCCCUCAGGACUCAAGACUGCAGAAGCACUGGCCUUGGGCCCAGCCGACCUACAUCCUGACAGGUGGCCAGCAGGUUUUCUUGCCUCCUCCUCCUCUUCACGGAGGUAAUUCUGGAGUCAGGAAGGUGCAUGAAGACAGACAAAGCUCAGGUGCUCUCUGCCAGGAGCCAUGGACCACAGGGAAUUGGGU
Molecule: long non-coding RNA, 800 nt
Filed under: Heterocephalus glaber (naked mole-rat)
Lineage: Eukaryota; Metazoa; Chordata; Mammalia; Rodentia; Bathyergidae
Description: lncRNA (ENSHGLG00100041506.1)
Source: RNAcentral